UCCCAUGUGGCUCAGUUGGUAGAGCAUGGUGCUUGCAAUGCCAGGGUUGUGGGUUUGAUUCCCACAGGGGAC
Molecule: transfer RNA, 72 nt
Filed under: Oncorhynchus kisutch (coho salmon)
Lineage: Eukaryota; Metazoa; Chordata; Actinopteri; Salmoniformes; Salmonidae
Also listed under: 3 other names
Rfam family: tRNA
About the family: Transfer RNA (tRNA) molecules are approximately 80 nucleotides in length. Their secondary structure includes four short double-helical elements and three loops (D, anti-codon, and T loops).
Source: Rfam by way of RNAcentral